CUGCCUGGUAGCAAGGGACAUAUACCUGUGGGCGA
This 35-nucleotide transfer RNA is filed under the name Rhoptropus benguellensis. RNAcentral describes it as "partial tRNA-Tyr". Lineage: Eukaryota; Metazoa; Chordata; Lepidosauria; Squamata; Gekkonidae. The record is from RNAcentral.